AAACCAACCGGGAUUGCCCUAGUAACGGCGAGUGAAGCGGCAAGAGCUCAAAUUUGAAAGCUGGCCCCCUCGGGGUCCGCAUUGUAAUUUGCAGAGGAUGCUUCGGGAACGGCCCCCAUCUAAGUGCCCUGGAACGGGCCGUCAUAGAGGGUGAGAAUCCCGUCUGGGAUGGGGUGGCCGCGCCCGUGUGAAGCUCCUUCGACGAGUCGAGUUGUUUGGGAAUGCAGCUCUAAUUGGGUGGUAAAUUUCAUCUAAAGCUAAAUAUUGGCCGGAGACCGAUAGCGCACAAGUAGAGUGAUCGAAAGAUGAAAAGCACUUUGAAAAGAGAGUUAAACAGCACGUGAAAUUGUUGAAAGGGAAGCGCUUGCGACCAGACUCGCCCGCGGGGUUCAGCCGGCACUCGUGCCGGUGUACUUCCCCGCGGGCGGGCCAGCGUCGGUUUGGGCGGCCGGUCAAAGGCCUCUGGAAGGUAACGCCUCUCGGGGCGUCUUAUAGCCAGGGGUGCCAUGCGGCCUGCCCGGACCGAGGAACGCGCUUCGGCUCGGACGC
Molecule: ribosomal RNA, 549 nt
Filed under: Penicillium citrinum
Lineage: Eukaryota; Fungi; Ascomycota; Eurotiomycetes; Eurotiales; Aspergillaceae
Description: eukaryotic LSU rRNA
Rfam family: Eukaryotic large subunit ribosomal RNA
Source: RNAcentral